AUGGGGAAAGAAAAAAAAAACAAAUCAGCAGGUGUUGGUCAUAAAAGUUGUUGGAAGAAGAAGUCCAUAUUCUUUGAUCUUGAGUAUUGGAAGUACUUGCUUAUCCGACACAUAUUGGAUGUUAUGCACAUUGAGAAGAAUGUGUGUGAGAGUAUCAUUGGUAGGUUGCUUAACAUUCCGGGCAAAACAAAGGAUGGAAUUAAUGCUCGUCUUGAUCUUGUGGAGAAGGGUUUACGACAAGAGUUGGCACCACAGAUUGGAGAGAAGCGGACAUACUUGUCGCCAGCAUGCUAUACACUAUCAAAUGUGGAGAAAAGAAGACUUUGCACAACACUGUCAGAGCUCAAGGUCCCCGAAGGGUAUUCUUCAAAUUUAAGAAAUUGCGUCAAUACGGAUGAUUUGAAACUCUAUGGCAUGAAGUCACAUGAUUGUCACGUACUGAUGCAACAGUUAUUGCCUGUGGCAAUACGUUCUGUGUUGCCUAAAGAAGUGAGAUAUGCCAUUACAAGAUUAUGCUUCUUUUUCAAUGCUAUCUGUGACAAGGUUGUUGAUGUGGCAAAGUUGGACAAAAUUCAAUCCAAUAUAGUAAUCACAUUGUGUUUGCUUGAAAAGUACUUUCCACCAUCCUUUUUUGAUAUCAUGAUUCAUUUGACAGUGCAUCUUGUUAGAGAAGUACGACUAUGUGGACCUGUUCAUUUUCGAUGGAUGUACCCAUUUGAGAGGUUCAUGAAAGUUUUAAAGGGCUGUGUUCGUAAUCGUAAUUGUCUAGAGGGUUGUAUGGCUGAAAGUUACAUUGCAGCAGAAGCAGUUGAGUUUUGCGCAGAUAACUUAUCUAGAGUCGAUCCAAUUGGAGUUCCUAUUGCUAGGAACAUGACUUCUGAUGGUUUGGAAAUCGAAAGGCCCUUACCAGGAGGUUAUGUUGUUGCCGUCGAUCGUGAAGAAUUGGAACAAGCACAUCGUUAUGUGUUAUAAAACAACAGUGAAGUUGAACCUUACAUUGUGGAGCAUAUGGCUUGGUUGAAGGUACAAUAUCCUCACCAAGCAAAAAGUCCAAAAUGGUUACAAGUUGAACACAAUAGAACAUUCAUAGAUUGGAUACAUUAUAAGGUUGCAGAUGAAUUAAACCUCAAGCGUAAUAUAUCCAACACCCUUGAGUGGAUUGCACAAGGACCUCGCCUAGAUGUGAUUAAAAGUCCAGGCUACAUCAUAAACGACACCCGUUAUCACACAAAAGAUCGUGAUAAUUCGCGAGUCACCCAAAAUAGUGGAGUUAGCUUGGUGGCAACGGCAAUGCAAGUUACUGGCUAUAAGGAUAAGAAUCCUGUGUUUGGAGAGAUGAAUUUUUAUGGGAUUAUUAGUGAGAUAUGGCAACUUGAUUAUCAUAUGUUCCAAAUUCCAAUAUUUAAGUGUGACUGGGUUGACAACAAGGGUAUUAAAGUUGAUGAGCUUGGGUUCACACUUGUUGAGCUUGGAAGGAUAGGCCACAAAUCAGAUUCUUUCAUUUUGGCUUCCCAAGCUAAACAAGUUUUCUAUGUGAAAGAUCAACUUGAUUCGAGAUGGUCAGUUGUCCUAGAACCACCUCAGCAUCGAUAUCCAUGUAAUGGGGAUGAUGAGCUCAAUGAUUGUUCUUUUGAGCAGCAUGGAUUUGACAAAGUUAUGCCAGAAGUUGAACCUUCUGACGUAGCUGAUGAAUCUGAGCUAUCUUACGCUAGAGGAGAUUGUGAGGGAACUAGGAUCGACAAUGAAGGAUAAAUUACAUGUCUCUAGUUUCUAAUGUUUUUUUUAAUGCCAGAUACAAUAUCUAGUCUAAGUUUUUAGCUUGUUCUAAGUUUC
Rhododendron vialii is the source of this 1833-nucleotide RNA transcript. RefSeq lists it as uncharacterized. The record is from RefSeq and is a predicted model, not a curated record. The transcript has 3 exons. Lineage: Eukaryota; Viridiplantae; Streptophyta; Magnoliopsida; Ericales; Ericaceae.